UCCCACAAUUCUCUGCUGCUGACUCAGUUUUCCCAUGAUUCCCCACUGCUGACCCUUUUUUGUUGUUGUUGUUGUUGUUGUUUCCUUUGACCCUCCAAGUGGGUUUGGUUAUAUUUCCCAUGACCUUCUACAGGAUAUACGAUUGUGACCGCGACAUGAAGGCAUCUUCUGCAGAGACCAUUUCCAAAGGUCACAUUUGACAGCUACCAUCAUCAAGUAACUAGACCAGUCCUCAUGGCAUGUGAUUGACUUAAAGAGGCUAGAAAGCUGGGAAAGAUUUGGGGCAAAGAAGCUUGUCUUCCUGUAGCCAUCAGCUUGUGACGGAGAGGAAGCUGUGGCUGUGAGGAUUCCCUUCACUGGGAUUAGAAUCCACUUCUUUAGGAUUCUAACAUAACUGGGACACCAGGAGUUCUCUAAGAAUUCCUUGGGAAUCUAGCACCAGAUUGAGACUGCUGAUACAUCAAGUGGAGUAGACUGAAGAACUUCCUCUUCUCUGCCUUUUGAAUGAGAGACAGCCAUCGUUGGACUACUCAGACCACAGUCUGUAAACCAUCCUAAUAAACACCCUUAUGAUCUAUCUAUCCAUCUAUCUAUCCAUCUAUCUAUCUAUCUAUCUAUCUAUCUA
Mastomys coucha (southern multimammate mouse) is the source of this 625-nucleotide long non-coding RNA. RefSeq lists it as uncharacterized. The transcript is spliced from 4 exons. The record is from RefSeq and is a predicted model, not a curated record. NCBI's taxonomy places the organism in Eukaryota, Metazoa, Chordata, Mammalia, Rodentia, Muridae.